AACGAACGCUGGCGGCAUGCCUAACACAUGCAAGUCGAACGAGACCUUCGGGUCUAGUGGCGCACGGGUGCGUAACGCGUGGGAACCUGCCCUUAGGUUCGGAAUAACUCCCCGAAUGGGGUGCUAAUACCGGAUAAUGUCUUCGGACCAAGGAUUAAUGCCUUUGGAUGGGCCCGCGUUGGAUUAGCUAAUUGGUAGGGUAAAAGCCUACCAAGGCGACGAUCCAUAGCUGGUCUGAGAGGAUGAUCAGCCACACUGGGACUGAGACACGGCCCAGACUCCUACGGGAGGCAGCAGUGGGGAAUAUUGGACAAUGGGCGAAAGCCUGAUCCAGCAAUGCCGCGUGAGUGAUGAAGGCCUUAGGGUUGUAAAGCUCUUUUACCCGGGAUGAUAAUGACAGUACCGGGAGAAUAAGCUCCGGCUAACUCCGUG
This 432-nucleotide ribosomal RNA is filed under the name uncultured bacterium. RNAcentral's name for it is "partial 16S ribosomal RNA". It matches the Rfam family "Bacterial small subunit ribosomal RNA", at positions 29 to 507 of the family's 1533-position model. The record is from RNAcentral.